GGAAUAUUGGACAAUGGGCGCAAGCCUGAUCCAGCCAUGCCGCGUGCAGGAUGACGGUCCUAUGGAUUGUAAACUGCUUUUAUACGAGAAGAAACACUCCUUCGUGAAGGAGCUUGACGGUAUCGUAAGAAUAAGGAUCGGCUAACUCCGUGCCAGCAGCCGCGGUAAUACGGAGGAUCCAAGCGUUAUCCGGAAUCAUUGGGUUUAAAGGGUCCGUAGGCGGUUUAGUAAGUCAGUGGUGAAAGCCCAUCGCUCAACGGUGGAACGGCCAUUGAUACUGCUAAACUUGAAUUAUUAGGAAGUAACUAGAAUAUGUAGUGUAGCGGUGAAAUGCUUAGAGAUUACAUGGAAUACCAAUUGCGAAGGCAGGUUACUACUAAUGGAUUGACGCUGAUGGACGAAAGCGUGGGUAGCGAACAGGAUUAGAUACCCCAG
Molecule: ribosomal RNA, 435 nt
Filed under: uncultured Flavobacterium sp.
Lineage: Bacteria; Pseudomonadati; Bacteroidota; Flavobacteriia; Flavobacteriales; Flavobacteriaceae
Description: bacterial SSU rRNA
Rfam family: Bacterial small subunit ribosomal RNA
Source: RNAcentral